RNAcentral lists this small RNA (860 nucleotides) under Caenorhabditis elegans. RNAcentral's name for it is "Unclassified non-coding RNA K11H12.15". Lineage: Eukaryota; Metazoa; Nematoda; Chromadorea; Rhabditida; Rhabditidae. The record is from RNAcentral.
GACAAGAUGGCCGAGACCUCAAACGCCUCAGCAGAGCCCGAGCUCAUUUAUUUUGAGGUGACAAGUAACGAAGAACGUUUUGUGCAUAUGGUAUUCCAAAUGGCCAGCAACACCACAAAUCAAUUCCUUAUUUUUGUAAAAGACGAUGAGACCUGUUUUCGUGCUCAACGUGCACUUUAUUCAUCCGGUGAGAUGACGCAGUGCUUUCUGAAGAAUAUGAAUAAAGAUGCCUUCAAAAAAAGGAAACAGGAAUUGAAAAAUGGAACGGCUAAAGUUUGGAUUGCUGAUAGAUCUGUUAUUGGAAAAUUGGUGGAUUGUUUUUCGAAAGAGCUGACCGUGUUUUUGUAUGAUGGAAUUUCGAAUGAUUUUCCAAAACAGUAAGUUGUAAUUUUUUAAGGUUUUGGAUAGGUAGGUCGUUAGGCGUACGUGCGUACCUGCCUGCCUACAAAGGUUUAUGUUCUGACGGUAGGCGUCCACAGGACAGACGAAAGAUGUUUUGAAGGCAGGUAGGUAGAUAUAAAGUGCAUUACUAAGUAGGUGUAGGCACAUGGCAAGCGAAGAUUGCCUUGCGAGUAGACGGGUAGGCUAAUUCGUUAUUAAGUGUAGGCGCCAGGCAAGUGUAGGCACUCUCUCUCUCUGAGACAAAUGCGUAGGCAUUCUGUACCUUCUUGUAAAGCUUACCCUAAACAUUUACUUUUUGCAGAGCCGUCGGUAAAUGUCAUUCUGUGAUAUCUCUCAAGCAAAGUAGGCAUACUGCUGUUAACACCUCGGACGGAUUAUUUGAGCAAGUUUUUCACAUUUGCCAACUGUACAAUGCGACUUUCACAUCACCGAUCAAGGAUUGGAUGGCCAGCUCAAAA